This 254-nucleotide ribosomal RNA is filed under the name uncultured bacterium. RNAcentral describes it as "partial 16S ribosomal RNA". It matches the Rfam family "Bacterial small subunit ribosomal RNA", at positions 524 to 776 of the family's 1533-position model. The record is from RNAcentral.
UACGUAGGGAGCAAGCGUUGUUCGGAUUUACUGGGCGUAAAGGGCGCGUAGGCGGCAAAUUAAGUCAGCUGUGAAAUCUCCGAGCUUAACUCGGAACGGUCAGCUGAUACUGAUCUGCUAGAGUGCGGAAGGGGCAAUCGGAAUUCUUGGUGUAGCGGUGAAAUGCGUAGAUAUCGAGAGGAACACCUGAGGUGAAGACGGGUUGCUGGGCCGACACUGACGCUGAGUGCGCGAAAGCCAGGGGAGCAAACGGG